GGACGAGCCUCUGGAGAGACUCUUUUAAAAAAGAGCACCGAAGGAGCAAGGUCAAAUUUUUUGACUGAAACUCUCAGGUAAAAGGACAGAGGAUAAGGU
This is a non-coding RNA of Clostridium perfringens str. 13, 99 nucleotides long. The record is from Rfam. Lineage: Bacteria; Bacillati; Bacillota; Clostridia; Eubacteriales; Clostridiaceae.